RNAcentral lists this ribosomal RNA (305 nucleotides) under uncultured bacterium. RNAcentral describes it as "bacterial SSU rRNA". It matches the Rfam family "Bacterial small subunit ribosomal RNA", at positions 337 to 640 of the family's 1533-position model. The record is from RNAcentral.
UCCUACGGGAGGCAGCAGUGAGGAAUAUUGGUCAAUGGUCGGGAGACUGAACCAGCCAAGCCGCGUGAGGGAGGAAGGUACAGAGUAUCGUAAACCUCUUUUGUCAGGGAACAAAGGCGGGGACGUGUCCCCGGAUGAGUGUACCUGAAGAAAAAGCAUCGGCUAACUCCGUGCCAGCAGCCGCGGUAAUACGGAGGAUGCGAGCGUUAUCCGGAUUUAUUGGGUUUAAAGGGUGCGCAGGCGGUCUGUUAAGUCAGCGGUCAAGGCCCGGGGCGCAACCCCGGCCCGCCGUUGAAACUGGCAGU